GUAAACAGCUGCCUUUACUGACAAAGGAUGUAGCGGAGCGUGAACGAGCAGCAAUAAUAAGGAGUUCUUCCAGCUGACCAGGGGGGUUAGAAGGUAUCUGACCAGCAGUCAUUGGGAUAUCCUGGAGCGAAGUCAAUCAGCCCGCUCACAGUUAAGUCCUUCAGGCUCUCACCUUGGAGGGCAAAAACUACUUUUAUAAAGCCGGCUCUUAUCCUUGCACACCGGCAGACAGGGUUGCUGCUCAACACUCCGAAGUGACAUCACCCUUUCCACUUCAAGGUCACCCGCGGGUGGGAUACGGCACCAGGCCGAUUUCAACCCAGAACUUGCUUUUGUCUUGACGAUUUCGGUUCAGCAGCCCGCUCCCACUCCAUCUACUUCAUCACCGGGAUGUCAUGAUGAAUGGGCGGCCGGCAAAGCGGAGAAAAGACGGAGACGUGGGGAGGGAGAAAGUGAGAGAAGGGGAGAGGAAAAGUGAUCUCCCCUCUGCCUUUUUAUCGCUCUAUUUCAUCAUGGAAAUCACCUCAUUUACUCCGAGCACUUCGCCAUUCAUCUCUUAUUGUCAGUGGCAAGACCCGUUUUCAAUCUGCAUCCGUCGCGUGUAUUAUGUGCGCGUCUGGUAGACUUGGAGGAACCGGGGAAGAGGCAGCAAACUAACGGCAGGCAGUUGCGUUUGCACAUAAGCAGCUACUUUUACGAAGUCGCGGUGACGUGUGAACAUCAUCCAUUAAACUUACUAUACUUCAA
Molecule: long non-coding RNA, 747 nt
Organism: Mugil cephalus (flathead mullet)
Lineage: Eukaryota; Metazoa; Chordata; Actinopteri; Mugiliformes; Mugilidae
Exons: 3
Source: RefSeq, a predicted model, not a curated record